AAUGGGGGCAACCCUGAUCCAGCAAUGCCGCGUGUGUGAUGAAGGCCUUAGGGUUGUAAAGCACUUUCACUGGUGAAGAUGAUGACGGUAACCAGAGAAGAAGCCCCGGCUAACUUCGUGCCAGCAGCCGCGGUAAUACGAAGGGGGCGAGCGUUGUUCGGAAUUACUGGGCGUAAAGGGCGCGUAGGCGGUCUUUUAAGUUAGGCGUGAAAUCCCCGGGCUCAACCUGGGAACUGCGCUUAAGACUGGAAGACUAGAAAACGGAAGAGGGUAGUGGAAUUCCCAGUGUAGAGGUGAAAUUCGUAGAUAUUGGGAAGAACACCAGUGGCGAAAGCGGCUACCUGGUCCGAUUUUGACGCUGAGGCGCGAAAGCGUGGGGAGCAAACAGGAUU
Molecule: ribosomal RNA, 392 nt
Filed under: uncultured Gammaproteobacteria bacterium
Lineage: Bacteria; Pseudomonadati; Pseudomonadota; Gammaproteobacteria
Description: bacterial SSU rRNA
Rfam family: Bacterial small subunit ribosomal RNA
Source: RNAcentral